RNAcentral lists this long non-coding RNA (1285 nucleotides) under Coturnix japonica (Japanese quail). Its description in RNAcentral is "lncRNA (ENSCJPG00005013405.1)". Lineage: Eukaryota; Metazoa; Chordata; Aves; Galliformes; Phasianidae. The record is from RNAcentral.
AUGCAGCCUGCAGCAGACCUGCAGCAGCGCACACAGUUUCUAAUCUCCACAAGUUUACAAGCAGCUUUUUCCCCAGAACGUUGCAGGAUUUGGGCAAUGCUGACAGUCUGUUACUAUGAAAUCUCUUAUGUUGACAGUUGCAACACUGAUUACAGAUUUAAGCAGUUGGAUACCAAGGAACUUCCAAGUCACAGCACAUCUCUGCACAUCAUAGCCAGAGUAGCAGUCCAACACAAAUGGGACCUCACUUUCCCCAAUAACAGGAAGAUUCAGAUGCUGUGGUAAUGGAAGAGCUAUCUGGAAGUCAGGGCUGCCUAAUUUCCACGUCCCCCUUGAAGUCAUAGUGUGACUCUGUGACAGGUAUGUACUCCGUGCCCUUGGGAGGUUCCCUAUAUAGAACCUUGGUAGAGCUAAGUAGGUGGUCACUGGACCUGCAGGUGCUUGGCUAUAAGAGCAGAGGGAGACAGAGCCCCUCAAGACAGCAGUGCUCCCAGUUCUUAUGGCACCCUUUUCUUCGUAAACAAGUCAGGUUUUUGUGCAUAGUGAAGCCAGACAUGGAUAAUGGUAUUCCUGCCCAUCAAAUCUAGUUGUCCAGAUUAUCCAAAUUAAACUUGGUGUCCCAAGUCUUUGUUAUACCUUCCUUGGAAAAUUUCCAAGUUCUCCAAGAGACCGGGACUCACACUGGUAGCCAAGGAAGGCCAUCACCAGAUUUCGGGGUGUGAACCAUGUCUCUGCCAUCCAGUGCCAAAACAAAACAAAACAAAACAAAAAGCCAAUAGGCUUUACCCCAAAGAUCUUUAACUGAUAGUUUUCUCUGGGUUGCAGAGAGCUACUUCUCAGAGCACUGAAAGUGUUGCAAAGAAGAAAAACGUCCAUUAUUUGCUGGUUGUAGCUUGUGCAACAGGAAUAGAGACAAAUGCCUCAACAUGUUGGAUUUAAGAGCUUGACUGACAAGAUGUUAAGUCUGCCCCAAAGUCAAUACAGAGAUGCAAGUGUGUCACCUUCACAGAGCUGGCUGAACCUGCCACAGAGAGAGGAGACCUUCCUCUUUAUCUUCUGAGGUCUUAAUCUCUACCAUUUCCUGGGAACAAAACUUCUUUACAGAAAGGGUUGUUAAGCACUGGAAUAGGCUCCCCAGGGAGGUGGCUGAGUCACUACCCCUGAAUGUGUUUAAAACUUGUUUGGAUGAGGUGCUCAGGGACAUGAUUUAGUAGAGGGUUGUUAGAAUUAGGGUAGUAGGCUGUGGUUGGACUUGAUGAUCUUUAAGGUCUUUUCCAACCUGAGU